CUUCCUCUCCUUUCCAUUUCAUUUUGGUCCAUAAACUAAGCCCUUGUUUUUUUUAGUCACUCAAAAGAAUAAGGCAAACAAUCUAAUCUUUCCUUCUUCACCUUCGAACCAGAGACCCAAAAAGGAAAGCAGAUUAAACCCUUCCUUCUCCUGAUAAUCGAAAUUUAGGGCAAACUAAAUUUCAUUCAUCUCCUAGCUUGAGUACUCACAAGAUUCAUUGCAAGCUUCAUCUCCUUGCCAUCAUUUUCGAGUGAACCAAAACUCCAUGAGUGUGCUAUUUUUCUUGAUUGAUUAUUGGUGUAAACAAAAUUAAGGUUUGAAUCUCUCAAUUUCUAUGUGUUAUUUUACUCCAUUCUUCUCUCAUUCUUCUGAUUUUCCUCUCAAGAAUCGAACCCUAGCCCAUCUUUGAUUGGAUUUUCAAUUUACAUCAACAUUUUGUGGUUAUUUUUCUCCAUUGAAGGAGAAUUCAUAAAGCAGCAGUCGAAUCCCUCUUUCCAAGACCUUAAAAUUCUGCCGAAUGGGGGAAAACAAAUGAGGUUUGGUUCUGUUUGAUUAGGCAUCGAGGUUCAAGCUGGAAAUUUGUUUUCGAAUCUUAUUUUUUGUUCGUUCCUUGCUGCUGUCAAACAGAAGGUUUGUAGUUUAGCAUCGAAUGCUCUUUCGUGAUGUUGUGAUUUGUUAUGCUUUAGGAGGCGAUAUCAUUGAGGAUCCUUUCUAGUGAUCGCAGAGAACCAGACUUAGCUCCUUGAAGCGUCUUUGGUGAUUGUUGAGUAGUAACAGUCCCUUAAAGGGGUCUGAUCAGACUAUAUUUCUUGAAAAUAAUUUUAUUGAAACUAUUUGGAAAUUAAAAUUUGUUGAGACAAAUGUUGUGUGACCGCUUAUGUUGAUAUUAUGAUUGGUCAAUGGUUCGGGCUUGCGAGCUGGUCAUUGACGGAGUUGAGGGACAUUGCCGAGGCGAGAUGUCAUUUGGAUAUUGACUAGCUUCACUUGAGAGCGACAUGGCCUUAGAGCUAUGGGGCACCUUCAAACUAGACUCCCUGUGCGCACAUAGAUUUAGGAAACUAAUGUUCUUUUAAACCUAUGAUUUGAAUUAUUGUGUUUUGUUGUUUUGGAUUGUUACUUCUCAUUCUGUUCAACCUGACUCCCUGUUGUUUCCAUCUUUUAGAUUGUUUACAAAUCGGAACCGGUCGGAAAUGAUGGGCUAGUGGUGAUGAUUAGAGUUACAUGGAUGAUAUAUUGAGCCGAGUUCAUGAGAAUUUGUAGUAUUGUAUUAGGUUUUUGAUAAAUGUAUAUUAGACUUGGUUGUGUUGGUUAUAUUGGACUUUUAGAAUAACUUUUAUGAUUACUUUGUAUUUUAGUUAGAUGUUUGGUUUGAGAAUUAGUUGAGUUAGUUACGUUAAAGAACUGGUGACUCUUUUGCUCAAGUUUUAGAAGUGUGAUUUUAAUUUCUUGGAAAAUAAUCCCCGUGAUAACCCUAUUUACUUAGUCAACGAUAAGUCGGGUUGUUACA
Molecule: long non-coding RNA, 1507 nt
Organism: Amaranthus tricolor (Joseph's coat)
Lineage: Eukaryota; Viridiplantae; Streptophyta; Magnoliopsida; Caryophyllales; Amaranthaceae
Exons: 2
Source: RefSeq, a predicted model, not a curated record